AAGUGUGAUCUUCUUCGAUAAUCUGUACAAAUGGUCUCAAUGAAUAAAGAGUAGAAUUCUUUGUAGUUCAGCUAAAGUUAAACUAAAAUAAGUUGAAAUCAGUGAAAAAUGAAUCAUUUACAUAAUUAUAAUUCAGAAAAGAUGAACCCUCAAGUGCUCCUCAAGAAACCAUACUUCAGACCUUUAAAUAUAUUCUAUACUUCGAACAAUGAAUUGAAAUUGUUUAAAAAAAAAAGAAGUCCCAAUGCAUAACAUUUAUUCAAGACCUGCUCAACAAAUAUUUUAUACUAUUUAUAGUAGUCACAAUAAUAUUAUCUAUCAAUUUUUCCUAACACAUAACCAAUAAAUAUUAGACAAAAUGAAAAACCUA
Harmonia axyridis is the source of this 370-nucleotide long non-coding RNA. RefSeq lists it as uncharacterized. The transcript is spliced from 2 exons. The record is from RefSeq and is a predicted model, not a curated record. Lineage: Eukaryota; Metazoa; Arthropoda; Insecta; Coleoptera; Coccinellidae.